Molecule: ribosomal RNA, 609 nt
Filed under: uncultured bacterium
Lineage: Bacteria
Description: partial 16S ribosomal RNA
Source: RNAcentral
UUCCUUCGCGGGUACCGUCAUCCAUAAGACUAUUCGCCUUAUGGGGUUUCGUCCCCGCUGACAGAGCUUUACAACCCGAAGGCCUUCAUCACUCACGCGGCGUUGCUGCGUCAGGCUUUCGCCCAUUGCGCAAUAUUCCUCACUGCUGCCUCCCGUAGGAGUCUGGCCCGUGUUCCAGUGCCAAUGUGGCCGUUCACCCUCUCAGGCCGGCUACCCAUCAAAGCCUUGGUAGGCCGUUACCCUACCAACUAGCUAAUGAGCCGCGGGCUUAUCUAUGAGCGCUUGCUUGAGUCAGAGGCAAGCUUUUACCACGAAGCUUGUGUCCCGUGGUCUUAUCCGGUAUUAGCCCCGGUUUCCCGAGGUUAUCCCGAACUCAAAGGUAAAUUACCCACGUGUUACUCACCCGUUCGCCACUUUACUAGCUCCCCGAAGGGAACAUUCUCGUACGACUUGCAUGUGUUAGGCACGCCGCUAGCGUUAGUUCUGAGCCAGGAUCAAACUCUAAUCACUAGUGAAUUCGCGGCCGCCUGCAGGUCGACCAUAUGGGAGAGCUCCCAACGCGUUGGAUGCAUAGCUUGAGUAUUCUAUAGUGUCACCUAAUAGCUUGCK